GAUGAACGCUGGCGGCGUGCCUAAUACAUGCAAGUCGAGCGAACGGACGAGAAGCUUGCUUCUCUGAUGUUAGCGGCGGACGGGUGAGUAACACGUGGAUAACCUACCUAUAAGACUGGGAUAACUUCGGGAAACCGGAGCUAAUACCGGAUAAUAUUUUGAACCGCAUGGUUCAAAAGUGAAAGACGGUCUUGCUGUCACUUAUAGAUGGAUCCGCGCUGCAUUAGCUAGUUGGUAGGGUAACGGCUUACCAAGGCAACGAUGCAUAGCCGACCUGAGAGGGUGAUCGGCCACACUGGAACUGAGACACGGUCCAGACUCCUACGGGAGGCAGCAGCAGGGAAUCUUCCGCAAUGGGCGAAAGCCUGACGGAGCAACGCCGCGUGAGUGAUGAAGGUCUUCGGAUCGUAAAACUCUGUUAUUAGGGAAGAACAUAUGUGUAAGUAACUGUGCACAUCUUGACGGUACCUAAUCAGAAAGCCACGGCUAACUACGUG
RNAcentral lists this ribosomal RNA (497 nucleotides) under uncultured bacterium. RNAcentral describes it as "partial 16S ribosomal RNA". It matches the Rfam family "Bacterial small subunit ribosomal RNA", at positions 28 to 507 of the family's 1533-position model. The record is from RNAcentral.